Molecule: long non-coding RNA, 1125 nt
Filed under: Macaca fascicularis (crab-eating macaque)
Lineage: Eukaryota; Metazoa; Chordata; Mammalia; Primates; Cercopithecidae
Description: lncRNA (ENSMFAG00000048328.1)
Source: RNAcentral
GCAGUCAGGGCUCGGUGAGAUUCUUGCCUUAGGAAGCUGGAGCCUGCCUGGGAAUAAAACCAACCCAGAGGGCCAGGCGUGGUGGCUCACGCUUGUAAUCUCAGCACUUUGGGAGGCCAAGGCAGGCAGAUCACCUGAGGUCAGGAGUUCGAGACCCCGUCUCUACCAAAAAAUACAAAAUUUAGCUGGGCGUGGUGUGGGCACCUGUAAUCCCAACUACUCGGGAGGAGUAUUGCUUGAACCCAGGAGGCGGAGGUUGAGCCGGAUGAGCAAUGGCUAAUGGUAGAGGCUGGGAAUGACUCCUUUCUCCUUGGUGCAUGAGGACAUCUGUUCUCUGGCCGGCCCUGACCUCGCCUCACUGAGCUGGAGCAGAAAUCACUUAACCUUCCAGGCCUCGGCGUUUAGAGCUGGCCCCGGCAGAAGUCAGUGGCGGGAUUCGGAGACGGCAAACGUGUUCCAUCAAGGGCCAGAUGUGGUCUUGCUCUGUCGUCCAGGCUGCAAUGAAGUGGUGUGAUCUCGGCUCACUGCAGCCUCUGCCUACUCCCGGGUUCAAGCGAUCCUCAUGCCUCAGCCUCUCAAGUAGCUGGAAUUACAGGCUGGGACUGGGCGAGCCGACCUCGGAAGCCUUUCAGAUGGAGGGAGAAAGGCUGAACAGGAACCUUCGGAUGACGGGAACCCGAGCUGACCUUUCCACUGCUGGAGACUUCGUGGGAGACCCUGUGCUAGAACUUCCCAGGAAGUGCCUCCCUGAGAUUCCAGACCCACAGAAGCUGAGAAAAUACAUCAUCGUUCCCAGAGGCUAAGUGUGGGGCAUUUUGUUAGGCAGCAAUAGCUAACUCACACAAGGGCCUUCUUGGAAGGAGAGCUGCUUUUUGAGGGUGAGAAAAAGCAUUCCUAGAUUUUUGCCAGCAGUUGGUCAAACUGUGUCACAUGACCAUGACUAGACCAAUCUCUGGUUAGGGGUGUGAUCAUCUUGGACCAAUCAGGACCCUGCCCUGGGGCUGGGCCAUGGCUCCUGGGAAUCACUGAGGGUGCUGGAUGCUGGAUCCCAGCCAGGAAGGAGCGGCCGAGAUACUGCCUCCUGGACUCCAUAAUGUCCAAGCUGCCAUUUAUUGAACACUGACU